Podospora bellae-mahoneyi is the source of this 102-nucleotide non-coding RNA. NCBI's taxonomy places the organism in Eukaryota, Fungi, Ascomycota, Sordariomycetes, Sordariales, Podosporaceae. The record is from the annotation of a RefSeq genome assembly.
GCCCGAUUAGCUCAGCUGGUUAGAGCGUCGUACUAAUAUUGCUCUCUCAGAGUCAAUAUCAAGUCUAUGCGAAGGUCAACAGUUCAAUCCUGUUAUUGGGCA